CCUGAGAAACCCAAAAGAUCGAAUGGGGAGAUUCAUCGUCAGCUCAUUUUGUAUAUGUAUAAGUUACGAUGCGGGUUACUACUUGUAGUAUUGCCUGCACGUUCUUGUAUAUUUAGUUGCAAGAUGUUGUCGGCGUGCACUUCUUCCCUAGUAGGACGUCGCGACCCGUUGGGUGUCGGUCUACGGCCCAAGUGAUAGCCUUUAAUGUAAUUUAAAAAUCAUUGAAGAUCCUUGGUGUUUUCUGACCGGCUGCUCGGCGGUACUCGUACGGUAUUUAGCCGCUAAUUUAUUAGCGUCCAUGUCCGUCACAAGCGAGGCCAAUUUACUGAUAGUGCGGACCUAGUGCCGUCGUUGGUAUUGGCCAGCUGUUGGUUGUACGUGAUUCUGGGACUGGCUAAAAUUAAUUACCGGUCGGCGAUGCUACUGCUUUGGGUACUUUCAGG
RNAcentral lists this ribosomal RNA (443 nucleotides) under Aleiodes abdominalis. RNAcentral's name for it is "LSU rRNA". Lineage: Eukaryota; Metazoa; Arthropoda; Insecta; Hymenoptera; Braconidae. The record is from RNAcentral.